CGAAACAGAAUAGCCCAUAUGUGUGUGUGUGUGUGUAUACUAGUACAAAUGCCCGUGCAUUGCACCGGCCGAAAAAUGAAAUAUAACCUAUUCCUGUGCCAUUAUGCAAUAAUUUUUUAAUUCAAUUUUACGGGGACAUUAUCUUCUAGUGCUUUUACACAAAUCACCCUUCUACUUCUUCCUUUACCCACUGUCCCUGUGUCUCCAAUCAAAACACAUUAUCGCAAUCUACCUGCAAAAAAAGGACACUAUCACCAUCAACGAAACAGGUCAUUCAUAACCCUCCCACGUGCACACUUUGAAUUCCAGACACGUACCAUGCCAUCAGCACUCAGCAUCAAGUUUUGACUACCAUCGCUGACAUGUAUGCACCAUACUCGGCACCCUUCCAAUUAGCUCACUCCAUUUUCCAUUCCCUCCUCUCUUUUCUCUUCCUCAUCAGAUCGUGUAAUAGUGCAACUGUAAAUUCCAGUAAACCGCUCCAUCAGCUCACUAAAGUUAUCUAAGUCACUGAACACUGUUCUCUGCAAACCAUUUUGUUUGAAUAUUACUCAAAUCUACAUUCUAAAAUAUGUCUACAUACAUCCGUAUGUAGUCUAUAUUGAAAUAUCUAAAAUUACUUAUAUUUAGGCGGAAGGAGUAGAAAAUAAAAAGCAUGAAAGUGUAUACCAAGUAGUUCCAUAUUUGGUUUCAGAGCACAAAUUUGUAUUCCUGUC
This 716-nucleotide long non-coding RNA is filed under the name Triticum aestivum (bread wheat). Its description in RNAcentral is "long non-coding RNA (TAES_LNC020013)". Lineage: Eukaryota; Viridiplantae; Streptophyta; Magnoliopsida; Poales; Poaceae. The record is from RNAcentral.